UCCCUGGUGGUCCAGUGGUUGGGACUUCACGCUUUCACUGCAGGGGGGCUCAGGUUCGAUCCCUGGUCAGGGAA
RNAcentral lists this transfer RNA (74 nucleotides) under Bos taurus (domestic cattle). It matches the Rfam family "tRNA". Rfam says of the family: Transfer RNA (tRNA) molecules are approximately 80 nucleotides in length. Lineage: Eukaryota; Metazoa; Chordata; Mammalia; Artiodactyla; Bovidae. RNAcentral also lists the same sequence under 2 other names. The record is from Rfam by way of RNAcentral.